Molecule: long non-coding RNA, 289 nt
Organism: Hyla sarda
Lineage: Eukaryota; Metazoa; Chordata; Amphibia; Anura; Hylidae
Exons: 3
Source: RefSeq, a predicted model, not a curated record
GGGAUCCUUGGACUGUUUCCUCCGAUUACUAUUUUAGGAUUCUUUAUAGAUUCUUUUUUCCUGUGAGGUGGAGGAUUUUUACAUCAAUAUCCCUCUCAAUUGUGCAUCUAUAAAAGAAUCAUAUCCAGGGAAGUGGGACCACUUUAUUACAUUAAGGCCGAAAGAUCUAUUGAAUCAACAUUGAGAGACAACUUGGACCAUAAUCCUUUGAAAAAUCAAUGUAUUGUAUUGUCUAGUCCAACUCUAUGUGCUUUUUGUCAUUGUGCUUUAUCUAUGCUUACAUUUUGUG